AGACUAUGGGUUUGUCUUAGGCCUUUAUUUUAAGCUGCUAUAACAGAAUACCCAAGACUGAGUGUUUUAUAAAGAAUAGAAAUUUACUUCUUACUGUUCUAGAGGUGGGAAAGUCCUAGGUCAGGCAGCUCACAUCUGGUGAGGGGUUGUGUCAACUUUCCCAUUUCUGGAACAAAUGCUUGAGCCAACGGGGAUGGAGGUUUAUCUAUGGCUCAUGGUUUCAAAGGCUCAGACCAUGGUCAACUGGAUCUGCACAGAAACAUCAGGAUGGAAGUGCAUGGUGGAGCAAAGCUACUCACUGCAUGGUGGCUAGGAGCAGAAGAGAGGGGGAAGAAUACAAAUACAAAUGAGAGACAUGCCCUUCAAUCCUGUUCCCCUCUGGAUCCUUCCAGAAGAACCACUUCACUGUGACGAGUGUGGGUUGGAGCAGAGCUUAGAAGGAAGGGAGAUGCCAUCCUCACCAGGUAAACACUGGUCCUGCAUCUGCAGACACCACAGGAACUUCUGGCCAGAACACUACUUCCAAAGCCCAGGGCAAAUCCAAACACUGCUCCCACUGUGGGCAUCUGCGCCAAGACCUGCAGUGUCCUCUACCUACACGCUUGCCUCCUAGGCUUU
This 618-nucleotide long non-coding RNA is filed under the name Heterocephalus glaber (naked mole-rat). RNAcentral's name for it is "lncRNA (ENSHGLG00000047922.1)". The record is from RNAcentral. Lineage: Eukaryota; Metazoa; Chordata; Mammalia; Rodentia; Bathyergidae.